Molecule: long non-coding RNA, 723 nt
Filed under: Homo sapiens (human)
Lineage: Eukaryota; Metazoa; Chordata; Mammalia; Primates; Hominidae
Description: HSALNT0326217
Source: RNAcentral
CGUGUUUUUUUUUUUGUUUUUUUUUUUAACUGAAGAACUCACUUUUUAUGGCAGCUAAACAAUUCAAAGGAGGAUACUUUCAUUAUCUCAACUUCUUAUAAUGAAUGACUUGGAUCUCAUAAUUGCCCAGUUCAAGGAGAUUGGAACCACCUGGACCAUCUGGAUAUCCCACAGAAGACCACACUGACCCAUUAUUACACUGAUGAUAUCAUGCUGAUUGGGCAAGAGAAGCAAGAGGAAGGAAGGCCCACAGAAGUUGCUGUGUGAACAUGUGUGGAGAUGUGAAUCCAUAUAGCUCAAAGGGUGGACUGUGACACCUAUGAGAGCUACAAAUGAAGACUUAGGAGUGUUCAUCAAAUAAGGAGUUGCAAGAAGAACACAGAAACCAGAUUUAUUGUAUACAUGAAAAAAUAAAAAGUACUACUCAAGGAAAGUUUGAGCAUUUUUAUUCACUAAGUUCCAUUUCCUGGUGUUUCAUGCAUGCUAGGAAUUCUAAAUACUGUACUGUUGAAUGCUUGUUUGAAUAGCAAACGCAUUAGACAUGCAAUUUAACAUUUAAAAAAAGGUACAUUGUGCAUGAAUACUAAAGAAAGGCAUUUCUUUCAUUGUCUGAGAAGAAAAUGGAAAAUAAAUUGUGUGAUGUGCAAUUUGGGCUGCUAGAGAACUACUUUAGAUCUCUUACCUGGAAUAAUUUUUACUCUUACCUCAAAGUCAAUCACAGCA